GGACCCGCACAAGCGGUGGAUGAUGUGGAUUAAUUCGAUGCAACGCGAAAAACCUUACCUACCCUUGACAUGGCAGGAAUCCUGGAGAGAUCUGGGAGUGCUCGAAAGAGAACCUGCACACAGGUGCUGCAUGGCUGUCGUCAGCUCGUGUCGUGAGAUGUUGGGUUAAGUCCCGCAACGAGCGCAACCCUUGUCAUUAGUUGCUACGCAAGAGCACUCUAAUGAGACUGCCGGUGACAAACCGGAGGAAGGUGGGGAUGACGUCAAGUCCUCAUGGCCCUUAUGGGUAGGGCUUCACACGUCAUACAAUGGUACAUACAGAGGGCCGCCAACCCGCGAGGGGGAGCUAAUCCCAGAAAGUGUAUCGUAGUCCGGAUUGUAGUCUGCAACUCGACUACAUGAAGUUGGAAUCGCUAGUAAUCGCGGAUCAGCAUGUCGCGGUGAAUACGUUCCCGGGUCUU
This 461-nucleotide ribosomal RNA is filed under the name uncultured bacterium. RNAcentral describes it as "bacterial SSU rRNA". It matches the Rfam family "Bacterial small subunit ribosomal RNA", at positions 917 to 1382 of the family's 1533-position model. The record is from RNAcentral.